RNAcentral lists this ribosomal RNA (440 nucleotides) under uncultured bacterium. RNAcentral's name for it is "partial 16S ribosomal RNA". It matches the Rfam family "Bacterial small subunit ribosomal RNA", at positions 338 to 795 of the family's 1533-position model. The record is from RNAcentral.
CCUACGGGUGGCAGCAGUGGGGAAUAUUGCACAAUGGGGGGAACCCUGAUGCAGCGACGCCGCGUGAGUGAAGCAGUAUUUCGGUAUGUAAAGCUCUAUCCGCAGGGAAGAAAAUGACGGUACCUGACUAAGAAGCCCCGGCUAACUACGUGCCAGCAGCCGCGGUAAUACGUAGGGGGCUAGCGUUAUCCGGAUUUACUGGGUGUAAAGGGAGCGUAGACGGGAGAGCAAGUCUGAAGUGAAAGGCCGCGGCCCAACUGGGGGACAGCUUUGGAAACUGCCCGGCUAGAGUGCAGGAGAGGAGAGCGGAAUUCCUAGUGUAGCGGUGAAAUGCGUAGAUAUUAGGAGGAACACCAGUGGCGAAGGCGGCUGACUGGACAGUAACUGACGUUGAGGCUCGAAAGCGUGGGGAGCAAACAGGAUUAGAUACCCGAGUAGUC